GCUAGGUCGGCGAGCCGCAGUCCCGGAGUCUACAAGCCUUCCAUCUCUGGCAGCUUGCUUCUCAGCCUAGCCCAGCUUCACCAUGGUGGACGCCUUCGUGGGCACCUGGAAACUAGUGGACAGCAAGAAUUUCGAUGACUACAUGAAGUCACUUGGUGUGGGCUUUGCUACCAGGCAAGUGGCCAGCAUGACCAAGCCCACUACAAUCAUCGAAAAGAAUGGGGACACCAUCAUCUUAAAAACACAGAGCACCUUCAAGAACACGGAGAUCAGUUUUCAGCUGGGGAAGGAGUUUGAUGAGACUACAGCAGAUGACAGGAAGGUCAAGUCCACUGUGACGCUGGAUGGAGGAAAACUUGUCCACGUGCAGAAGUGGGACGGGCAAGAGACUACACUUGUGCGGGAGCUAAAUGAUGGGAAACUCAUCUUGACACUCACCCAUGGCAGUGUAGUGUGCACUCGCACUUACGAGAAAGAGGCAUGACUCACCAGCACUGUCACUGACUGUUCCUCUGUCAACUGGCCACCCCUGGACUCAACACCACAUUGCCUCAUUUUUUUCCUCUGGCAUUUUGUAUAAACCUACUUUGGAGAAUUCUUCUGGGAUCAGGUGACACCAGCCUGGAUCCCCAGUUUCCAUUGUGCUUCCAACCAACGUCCUGAGAGAAGCUGGCUGUGAGAUCACAGUGAACUAGGUGUUCAACCUAGACCCAAGAAGUUAGUAUUCUGUAACCUUGGCCAGUCAUCUCACCUCACUGAGGCCCAGCCUCUGCAAAUGGAAAACAGAUGGAAAAACUGCAACUCAGAGAAGUAAAAUGAGUUCACCAAGGCUAAAGCAACAAGAACAUUGUCUUUUCUAACAGAGUUCAACAGUAUUUCUACUUUACUCUCAAGGACACCAGUUGAGAAGGGAAGAAUCACUAGAGAACCCUGGCAAGCUGGAACACAGGCUCUAGCUAGUGAAGACUGGGGAGAUGGUCUUCUCCUAGACCUCAAUCUCAAUGCCAAAAUGCUUUUGCAGCCUGAACAAGACAACCAAGGCUCCAGCAACUGGUGUCUUUUUCACUAGUCAUCCCUACGCAAGAGAAGAACAAAAGAACAGUUACUUCAGAAGCUGGAGUUCAGCAGGAAAGUUGAGAGUUGAGUGGGGGAAGACCUAGAGGGCUAAAAGCUGCUUCUGGUCCUGGACUGCAUUCAAGUACAAAGGGGAACAGAGAAUAAAGAGUAAGCUGAGCAUGGUC
Molecule: RNA transcript, 1241 nt
Organism: Marmota monax (woodchuck)
Lineage: Eukaryota; Metazoa; Chordata; Mammalia; Rodentia; Sciuridae
Gene: Fabp3
Gene name: fatty acid binding protein 3
Exons: 6
Source: RefSeq, a predicted model, not a curated record